RNAcentral lists this ribosomal RNA (1346 nucleotides) under uncultured bacterium. Its description in RNAcentral is "partial 16S ribosomal RNA". It matches the Rfam family "Bacterial small subunit ribosomal RNA", at positions 28 to 1381 of the family's 1533-position model. The record is from RNAcentral.
GACGAACUUUGGCGGCGUGCUUAACACAUGCAAGUCGAACGGAAAGGCCCUGCUUUUGUGGGGUGCUCGAGUGGCGAACGGGUGAGUAACACGUGAGUAACCUGCCCUUGACUUUGGGAUAACUUCAGGAAACUGGGGCUAAUACCGGAUAGGAGCUCCUGCUGCAUGGUGGGGGUUGGAAAGUUUCGGCGGUUGGGGAUGGACUCGCGGCUUAUCAGCUUGUUGGUGGGGUAGUGGCUUACCAAGGCUUUGACGGGUAGCCGGCCUGAGAGGGUGACCGGCCACAUUGGGACUGAGAUACGGCCCAGACUCCUACGGGAGGCAGCAGUGGGGAAUAUUGCACAAUGGGCGGAAGCCUGAUGCAGCAACGCCGCGUGCGGGAUGACGGCCUUCGGGUUGUAAACCGCUUUCGCCUGUGACGAAGCGUGAGUGACGGUAAUGGGUAAAGAAGCACCGGCUAACUACGUGCCAGCAGCCGCGGUGAUACGUAGGGUGCGAGCGUUGUCCGGAUUUAUUGGGCGUAAAAGGGCUCGUAGGUGGUUGAUCGCGUCGGAAGUGUAAUCUUGGGGCUUAACCCUGAGCGUGCUUUCGAUACGGGUUGACUUGAGGAAGGUAGGGAGAAUGGAAUUCCUGGUGGAGCGGUGGAAUGCGCAGAUAUCAGGAGGAACACCAGUGGCGAAGGCGGUUCUCUGGGCCUUUCCUGACGCUGAGGAGCGAAAGCGUGGGGAGCGAACAGGCUUAGAUACCCUGGUAGUCCACGCUGUAAACGGUGGGUACUAGGUGUGGGGUCCAUUCCACGGGUCCCGUGCCGUAGCUAACGCUUUAAGUACCCCGCCUGGGGAGUACGGCCGCAAGGCUAAAACUCAAAGGAAUUGACGGGGCCCCGCACAAGCGGCGGAGCAUGCGGAUUAAUUCGAUGCAACGCGUAGAACCUUACCUGGGUUUGACAUGGAUCGGGAGUGCUCAGAGAUGGGUGUGCCUCUUUUGGGGUCGGUUCACAGGUGGUGCAUGGCUGUCGUCAGCUCGUGUCGUGAGAUGUUGGGUUAAGUCCCGCAACGAGCGCAACCCUUGUUCACUGUUGCCAGCACGUUAUGGUGGGGACUCAGUGGAGACCGCCGGGGUCGACUCGGAGGAAGGUGGGGAUGACGUCAAGUCAUCAUGCCCCUUAUGUCCAGGGCUUCACGCAUGCUACAAUGGCUGGUACAGAGAGUGGCGAGCCUGUGAGGGUGAGCGAAUCUCGGAAAGCCGGUCUCAGUUCGGAUUGGGGUCUGCAACUCGACCUCAUGAAGUCGGAGUCGCUAGUAAUCGCAGAUCAGCAACGCUGCGGUGAAUACGUUCCCGGGGCU